GCUGGGUGUGGUGGCACACACUUGUAAUCCCAGCUGCUCAGGAGGCAGAAGCAGGAGGAUCGCAGGUGUUGAGCCACAACAUCGUAGUAAGGACCUAAGCAGCUUAGCUAAACCCUGUCUCAA
This 123-nucleotide small RNA is filed under the name Marmota monax (woodchuck). Lineage: Eukaryota; Metazoa; Chordata; Mammalia; Rodentia; Sciuridae. The record is from RNAcentral.